GAAUUAAAAAAGUGGGAAAAAUAACAGACCCUUUAAUAGACUCAACAGGUCUCUUAAGUUCAACUUUACAUCUUUAUUUACUAACCCCUUUAAUUCAGACUUCCUUUCCUCCAUCCACACCCGACACCCCACAGAUCUUCUCCCUUCAAAACUUUGUUAUCUUUUCCACUUUUCUCUCUAACUCAUUUAUUGAUGCUAGAUCUUAAUUCCCAACUCACCUAAAAAAAAUUCAAACUUCUUCAUCAUCGUCGCCAUUUCUGCCAUAAAAUCAAGAUAAAUCUAUAAAACACAUCAACGAAGAUGAUAAAAUUCGCCACAACAAUUUUCUUAGUAUCAUUGUGGGCUUGUGGGCUUGUGAGACCAAUUUUCUUUCUAAUAAUAUGAAAUUCGGCACAACAACGAAGAUGAUGAAACUAGUGGGUCACAUCUACAAUUGACGAUGAUGAUGGCAUGAGUUCCUUUGGUUUAAGAUUUGCUUGAUUUUAUCACACAAAAUUCUCAUGAGAUAGAAAUGGAGCACUCAAGUUUAUGGAUUUAUACGGACUGACGAAGUCAUUGUAAAUUUUAGUAAAUUGAAAUUGUUCUUUUAUCAGGAUUUUAUGGUGGUCGAUUUUAUUGUAUCUAAUCAAUUUUGAUUUUUCUUAGUGCUACUUCUUAGAGUCUUGAAUUCUAAUUUACAAUUUAAUUUCCGCCAAUUUGUAUAAAAUAUAAAUAUGAAAUUAAAAAAAAAUUCAAA
This is a long non-coding RNA of Chenopodium quinoa (quinoa), 736 nucleotides long. RefSeq lists it as uncharacterized. NCBI's taxonomy places the organism in Eukaryota, Viridiplantae, Streptophyta, Magnoliopsida, Caryophyllales, Amaranthaceae. The transcript has 3 exons. The record is from RefSeq and is a predicted model, not a curated record.